CUCUCUCUCUCUCUCUCUCACAGGGACAUCAUGUUUCAGUCAUGAAGUUUAGGUGGAGCAUGUGAGCAAGGAUUGAGGAUGACUAGACAGGCUGGGUGGUCUCUGCAUCCAGUCUGAUAGGAUCCACACCACUCCACUCUCUUUCAUUUCCACCAAGGGAGGCAGUGAACCACAUAUCACGCAGGACGUGCUGUGCUGGUGGCGUAAUGUCGAUGGAAGUGCCUCUUUGUAUCCCUGCCCAGCACUUUAUUGAACACAUGAAGGUGCUCCAGAGUUUCAAGAAGGGAGUGGCACACACUUUGCUGCACUCCAAGCUUUUGGAGGUCGAAUAACACACUUCACACUGCUUUCUUAUGCAGAGUGCAAGACAGAAAGAGGCAAGGCUGGAGGAUGCUUCAGCAUUCACAACAUCAUUGGUUCAUACUUUUUUUUUUGUGGAAAGUAGUUCACACAGUUUUGACUGAAAGAUUAUGUCAUCAUUCACAUUCACAGGUUUCAUGACUUAACAUUGCAAGUGUAUGUUUAGCUACAAUGAGUAUUGGUUUAUAGAAUUUGUAAUGUAUAAAAGUGACUUAUAAGAUCUUGCAUUAUGAAGAUUUGUUUAAAGGACUUUGUUUAUUAGCAUGAUCUAGUUGCAUCAUUCUUAACACUCAAGAUUAUACAGACAUGAACCAUUUGCCCAUUGCACUUCCUGCAGAUGAAAUUUCAGUCAACACUUGUGUGUCUGUGUGUGUGCAGCUUUGUGGGGAAGUGUGCCAGUCAUUCCUUAAUGUCAGUGUCUUUCAUUUAUGGGCAUAAAUGAUGUGUGUAAUUAGGUUUAUAUACAUUUUUGAGUGAGGAUAUUUAGACUGAUUAAAUAGUACGCUUUUCAACUUUCUACAGCUUUGCUAUUACUGUUCUGUGUAAGAUUUCAGGGACCAUAUCCUACAAACCGUCAUAGCUAAUGACAAGAUUGUAGUGAGACACAAAAACACACAAGUCCCUCUAUGGCAGGCUCUAACCUUUAGACUUGUGCCAAUAAGGGUUCACCUGUUGUAGUGCUCCCAACUGCCGUCUUAAAACUCUUGUCAACAUGUUGGGAAUUUGGCUGUAUGUACCAUAGCAUAAUUCCCAACAGUUUUUAUUAGUAAUCAAUUAUAAAUAUCCAUAAUGAUGACUAAAUAAGGUCCUCCUUUGAUGCAGUUAUUUAUCAUUAUAGAUGAUUGCCAAGAGGGGUACAACCAGUUUUCCGCAAACUCAAACCUUGCCCUGUGUGGCCUGAAUGUGUCAUGUGUCGGGCGUAAUCUUCUCCUGUUUGUCAUGUUUCUUUUGUUUGGAUACACAUUCUAAUUAGUCCCAAAGUAGUAGUAUGAUGUCAAAAUAAUUUAGAUUGUAGAGCUAUUCGUUUCUAUACAUGUAUAAAGUAAACAAAUAACGAGCCUAAAGACCAAUAAUGGAGUGACAGUUAGGCAUUCAGUGAGACCUGAGGCUAACUGUGUAGAAUGCAACCCCACAAUGGUAAUUUGUUUUUUUGUAUUAAUAGUAACAAUAUAAUGUUGCAAGGGACAACAUGCUGAUUGAGAGCAAUGCCAUUGUGAAAUGCUUAGAAAAUUAUUAUUAUUAUUAUAUAUAUAUAUAUAUAUAUAUAUAUAUAUAUAUAUAUAUAUAU
RNAcentral lists this long non-coding RNA (1648 nucleotides) under Portunus trituberculatus (swimming crab). RNAcentral's name for it is "uncharacterized LOC123520656". The record is from RNAcentral. Lineage: Eukaryota; Metazoa; Arthropoda; Malacostraca; Decapoda; Portunidae.